UCGAGCGAACAGACGAGGAGCUUGCUCCUCUGACGUUAGCGGCGGACGGGUGAGUAACACGUGGAUAACCUACCUAUAAGACUGGGAUAACUUCGGGAAACCGGAGCUAAUACCGGAUAAUAUAUUGAACCGCAUGGUUCAAUAGUGAAAGACGGUUUUGCCGUCACUUAUAGAUGGAUCCGCGCCGCAUUAGCUAGUUGGUAAGGUAACGGCUUACCAAGGCAACGAUGCGUAGCCGACCUGAGAGGGUGAUCGGCCACACUGGAACUGAGACACGGUCCAGACUCCUACGGGAGGCAGCAGUAGGGAAUCUUCCGCAAUGGGCGAAAGCCUGACGGAGCAACGCCGCGUGAGUGAUGAAGGUCUUCGGAUCGUAAAACUCUGUUAUUAGGGAAGAACAAAUGUGUAAGUAACUAUGCACGUCUUGACGGUACCUAAUCAGAAAGCCACGGCUAACUACGUGCCAGCAGCCGCGGUAAUACGUAGGUGGCAAGCGUUAUCCGGAAUUAUUGGGCGUAAAGCGCGCGUAGGCGGUUUUUUAAGUCUGAUGUGAAAGCCCACGGCUCAACCGUGGAGGGUCAUUGGAAACUGGACAACUUGAGUGCAGAAGAGGAAAGUGGAAUUCCAUGUGUAGCGGUGAAAUGCGCAGAGAUAUGGAGGAACACCAGUGGCGAAGGCGACUUUCUGGUC
This 690-nucleotide ribosomal RNA is filed under the name uncultured Staphylococcus sp. RNAcentral describes it as "bacterial SSU rRNA". It matches the Rfam family "Bacterial small subunit ribosomal RNA", at positions 62 to 734 of the family's 1533-position model. The record is from RNAcentral. Lineage: Bacteria; Bacillati; Bacillota; Bacilli; Caryophanales; Staphylococcaceae.